RNAcentral lists this transfer RNA (86 nucleotides) under Rubrivivax sp. RNAcentral describes it as "tRNA-Tyr". It matches the Rfam family "tRNA". From Rfam's summary of the family: Transfer RNA (tRNA) molecules are approximately 80 nucleotides in length. Lineage: Bacteria; Pseudomonadati; Pseudomonadota; Betaproteobacteria; Burkholderiales; Sphaerotilaceae. RNAcentral also lists the same sequence under 1 other name. The record is from RNAcentral.
GGGUGCGUGGCAGAGAGGCCGAUUGCGGCUGCCUGUAAAGCAGUCUCCCACGGGACACGGUGGUUCGAAUCCAUCCGCACCCACCA